AUAUUGUAUCUAGAUUCACUUGAUGUUGGUGAUAUCGUUAACAACGACUUGGAAGUAAGAGCCGCUGCGUGGACGGGACAACUCGUCUCCAAAGUCUGCCUCAUGGAUAAGCUCUCCGAGACUCAGUUCGGCAAACUACAACUAAAGCCAGAACAUUUAAGAACAACGAUGAUCCCACCAGAAAGGAUCCAACAAUUCAUCGAUUCAAACAUGCCGGAAUCGGUCAUUGUUAAUCGGGAGGUCCUCAAAAGUGCACUGAGCGAGUUCAGCAUUGCAAUCAAUCAAGCUUCUGUCAACCU
Molecule: long non-coding RNA, 299 nt
Organism: Panicum virgatum (switchgrass)
Lineage: Eukaryota; Viridiplantae; Streptophyta; Magnoliopsida; Poales; Poaceae
Exons: 3
Source: RefSeq, a predicted model, not a curated record